GAUUGCUCCGGUGGCCUAAGUGGUUAGAGUGUCCGCCUCAGAUGCGGGAGGUCGCGGGUUUGAACCCCGGCCGAAUCA
This is a non-coding RNA of Potamilus streckersoni, 78 nucleotides long. Lineage: Eukaryota; Metazoa; Mollusca; Bivalvia; Unionida; Unionidae. The record is from the annotation of a GenBank genome assembly.